CAGUCGCCGCGGUAAUACGAAGGGGGCUAGCGUUGUUCGGAUUUACUGGGCGUAAAACGCACGUAGGCGGAUCGAUCAGUCAGGGGUGAAAUCCUGGAGCUCAACUCCAGAACUGCCUUUGAUACUGUCGAUCUCGAGUCCGGAAGAGGUGAGUGGAACUCCUAGUGUAGAGGUGGAAUUCGUAGAUAUUAGGAAGAACACCAGUGGCGAAGGCGGCUCACUGGUCCGGUACUGACGCUGAGGUGCGAAAGCGUGGGGAGCAAACAGGAUUAGAUACCCGCGUAGUCCCUGUCUCUUAUAC
RNAcentral lists this ribosomal RNA (301 nucleotides) under uncultured bacterium. Its description in RNAcentral is "partial 16S ribosomal RNA". It matches the Rfam family "Bacterial small subunit ribosomal RNA", at positions 509 to 807 of the family's 1533-position model. The record is from RNAcentral.